Molecule: non-coding RNA, 3403 nt
Organism: Zonotrichia albicollis (white-throated sparrow)
Lineage: Eukaryota; Metazoa; Chordata; Aves; Passeriformes; Passerellidae
Source: RefSeq, a predicted model, not a curated record
CGGGCCGAGCCGGGGGUGCGGGACGGCCGCGGCAGCGCUCACACCGCCCUCACAGGCUCUUCGCUCCGCGCCUCUGCUCCGCUCACCCUGCGAGUCCCAGCUGCCCCUCCCGCACCGUGCCCCCCUCCACCUUUGCCGCCCGCCGGCUCUGAGGGCUUGAACCACCUCCCGAAGGAGGCGGGGAGCGUCCCUGGUCUGAGGAGCGGAGCGCCCGACCCGGAGCGGGAGUUCGAUAGGAAAGACGCGAGCUCUAGAGGAGCAGAGGAAACCUGUAUCCCCACCCAGCUUUCUGGGUUAUAGAAAGGCUGUUCUAUAGUCCUGAAGCAAAGAAGAAGCUGUACACCAAAAGCUGGAAAAGUGGCUUACAUUUUAAGAGGAAUUCUCCAAACCAGAAGAUCCCACCUGUGGUAACACAUACAGCUCAUGGAGUACAAAUUAUGUGCAGUGGGCGUUCAUGUGGAAAAUCUGUAUGGCUAAAGCAUCCUGGCAAACCACAGUUCCUGCUGGGUGAGUUAAGAGUCUGUCUUGAAGGAAUGAGGGAUUCAAAACUCCCCAUGCAGGAUGUGUACCUGCAGCUGUGCACAUCCUGUGAGACCUGAUGGCUGCCAGCUCCCCUGCCCAGGCAGGGACACUGAAAACCUACUGAAGAGUUUACAAGGACAGAAGAUAAUCCAGUGCUGACUUCUGCUUUCACAGAAGAAAGGAAAGAAAAUCUAGGUUUACAUUACAAAAGGGACAGUGAGGAUUUCCCUGUUUGCUCUCCAGAGUUUUCUUAACCCUGGUAUUUUCAAUCAAUGAGUUGAACAGAAACAGGAUAGCUGUGGAUCACAAAUGAGGAACCAGAUACAUAUGGAAUUGAUGAGGUGAUUAAUAUCACUUUCUUGUACAUGUCGAAGAAAAUCUGUUGUGUCCUGCACAGAAGUGUCUGUUUUGAUGGGAACCAUCACCACCCAUCCCACAGCUUCUUUACAUGGUUCAGCAGGAAAAAAAUUGCAGUUUCUAUCUAUGAUAGUCAUUAGAAAUCACAUUUAACAAGGGACAAAGGGCCCUAGGUGAAGCUGUGAAUGCCCAGAGCCAUCCCAGCCUUGCUAGCAGGAUGUGCUUUCACACAUGCACUUGGCAGCAGCCAGUGGAAGCAGUCCCAUGACUCCCACCCCUCUCCCAGCCCUGUGCUGUCCUUGACCAUGCUUAGAAGGAUCAUUUCUGUGACUGUGCAAUGAGCUGGCUCAGUGGACAGGUCUUAGCUAAAGAUCAUUCAGGAAAAAAAAAAUAGAAAAAAGUUAUUUUUCAGCCUGCCUGUCCAGGUGGCAGAAGCAGGUUCUUGGCAGUGCAUCCAGGGAUGCUCACAUCCCCAGCUGCUUGCAACAGCUCCUGUGAAACCACAGCCUCACUGCAAAACUCCUCUUCUGAGGAACAGGAAAGAGUGAGGGGCUAUUAGCUCACUUUAUCCACCCUGGUUUUUUCCUGAUAUGGAAGAGCACCAAGCUGAUUCAGGGGAGCUGGAAAGGGGAUCGUGUGAUAAUGGAAAUGAUGGUAGUGCCAGCCCCAAGCAUUCAGAAAUCCUGAGCUGGGCUGGCAGAACUCAUAAGGUCUUUAAAAAUAAGAAAGGUAGUAUUUCUUUUAAUUCUUGCUGCAUUCUAACCUUUAGGGCACAUGAGAUACUGAAUGCACAUCUUCUUAGACUUUUCAGAGGGACUAGAUUGAUACAACCACAAACCAAGAUUUACAUGCUGCUCAGAAAAUACAACCAGCUUUGUUCUUGGUGGCUCUUUAUCUACCCAGCAUAUCUGACACUUAUGUAUCAGAAAACUGAAUCUUACCCUGAUAACUUAAUCAAAACUCACCAGGCUGCUGUGGUGGGCAUGUGCUGCCUGGGGCUGGCCAUGAUUCCUUGCUGCCAGUUCCAGAUGAGCAGUGAUAUCCCUGAGCUGCAGGCACCUGCAGGCACCCAGUGCUGGUGGGUGAGCUCCUGGGCCACUGACCUGCUGGUGUGCCUCACACCCCAUUUUGGGUCACCUCCUGCUCCAGAGCCUGCCCAGUAAGUUGUCAUCAGGAAAUACUUUUCCCUUGCACUCUGCUGACUUGAUUUGACAAAUCCUCUGAAGAUCAAAACCUCCCAUGAACCAGUAGGAGUUUUAGAUUAUGUACAUCUUCUCUUGGGUUUAUGGGUGAUCAGAGAAUGCCCAUAUGCAUUAUUUAUUAUGCAGUUGAGGUGUUUUGACAGAGUUGGAAAAUUGACUAUCAGGAGACUGUUCCAGCUCAGCAUGGAUGGUCUGUGAGAAAUCACAAGAAUUAUUACACUGGGUGAAAAUCUGCAGCUCAGCACAUACAGACCUGCCAAUACAGACACACAGAUCUAUAUCUUACAUUGAGAUAUGCAGUUUUUACUACCAUCAUUUAAGUGUCAACUUUCUUCUCCCCUCCCCUCCAGCGUGUCCUGACACUGCUUGGCCCCAUGCAGGCCUGUCCAGAAGCCUGCUAAAAGAAAACAAACACUGAUUUCAGGUGGAUGAAUACAUGAUUCCCAGCCAAAACCACUUUGCCUUGCACAGUACUUCUGUUUUGCAUUGUGAGUCAUUAUAUGUACCUGUGAACAAUGGGCUAAGCAGUCACAGCCUGUUUCAUGCAGGAUCUGGCCACAUGAGUGCAGAGGGAAUUGCUGGGUUCCCAUGCUGGGAGGGCACUGGGGCAGACACCUCAGCCCCAAAGGUGUAAAUGUCUGUACCAGAUGGGAGGUGAAGGAGUUUGUUGUGCUGGGUCUUUUCAAAGGGGAGAAGCAAAGGUAUCAGACACUAGAAGGACUUUUGAGCUACAUUCUAUUUGUAUUUGUUUGGCACAAAGAGAAGCACAAUUCUGGCCAGUCUCCACAAGUGAAACUAUUAAUAAUGUCUAACACCAAUCAUGCAGUGGAGCCGAUCCAUUGCUGUCACCAGAUGCAGUGCAAGGCUGGCACUGCCAGUUCUGGGUGGCUGGGGAAGGUACAAUGCAGGCUGCAGCAACCUGGCUUCCUUUCCUCUCCAAAAAGUUGCCAGAGAUCUGUGGAAUCAGGACUCUUUCUGUCCUAUGAUGCUGUGAUGGACAUACUGUUUUCUGGAAGCUAGAAGUAUAGCCAGAUUCACUCACCUUGACUUUACCGGUUUGCCCCCAACAAAACUGUCUCAGGCCCCUGAAACCCCCUGGUGCUCAGCAGCUCUGACCUUUGGCUGGGCACUGCCACAGCAACAGCUCCUUCCACACAAACCCCCAGCAGGAGGGACCCCCAGAAGGCUCCUCUGCCCCACGGGGCGCUGCUGCUGCUUUGCCAUGUCAGGAUCUCGAGCUUGUCAGAGUGAUCCCGAGAAGAGUUUGAGAGUCUCCUUUCCCAGCCCGGCGCUUGAAGAAGGAGUCAGAGCUCUUCAUUUCU